GCCUAGAUAGCUCAGUUAGGAGAAGAGCGUUAGACUGAAGAUCUAAAGGUCCCCGGUUCGAUCCCAGGUCUGGGCA
This is a non-coding RNA of Portunus trituberculatus (swimming crab), 76 nucleotides long. Lineage: Eukaryota; Metazoa; Arthropoda; Malacostraca; Decapoda; Portunidae. The record is from the annotation of a RefSeq genome assembly.